AUCCAGCUGAAGAGUCUCACAUAGGACGAAACGUUUUUCAUGGUU
This 45-nucleotide non-coding RNA is filed under the name Schistosoma margrebowiei. Lineage: Eukaryota; Metazoa; Platyhelminthes; Trematoda; Strigeidida; Schistosomatidae. The record is from RNAcentral.